RNAcentral lists this unclassified non-coding RNA (395 nucleotides) under soil metagenome. RNAcentral's name for it is "partial contains 5.8S ribosomal RNA, internal transcribed spacer 2, and large subunit ribosomal RNA". The stretch from base 1 to 122 matches the Rfam family "5.8S ribosomal RNA", at positions 35 to 154 of the family's 154-position model. The record is from RNAcentral.
GAUGAAGAACGCAGCGAAAUGCGAUACUUGGUGUGAAUUGCAGAAUCCCGUGAACCAUCGAGUCUUUGAACGCAAGUUGCGCCCGAAGCCAUCAGGUUGAGGGCACGUCUGCCUGGGCGUUACAUAUCGUUGCCCAAUGCCUAUUGCAGUGCAAUAGGAAUUUCUAGGGCGAAUGAUGGCUUCCCGUGAGCGUUGUUGCCUCGCGGUUGGUUGAAAAUCGAGUCCUUGGUAGGGUGUGCCAUGGUAGAUGGUGGUCGAGUUAGAACGAUACCGAUCAUGUGCAUGCUCCCCAAAAUAUGGCCUCUAUGACCCACACGCGUCUUUUGACGCUCAUGACGAGACCUCAGGUCAGGCGGGGCUACCCGCUGAAUUUAAGCAUAUCAAUAAGCGGAGGA